GGGGCACCGCGAGAGCCGCUGCCGGUGCAGCGCCCUGUACUGCUGCUCCGCGGGGACGCGGUUCGUGGUGCUCGCUACUGUUUGACGGAUGCGAGUCUCUCUCUCGGAUAGGACAAACAAUGCAGAUACCUUAAGAGGAAGAGAAGUUCUGAGGAGCCAAUGAAGAUGCUCGAAAGAGAAAGGGUCCCUGUUAACCAUGUUCCUGGCCCAGAGACUGUGAAGCCACCUAGCCAGGUGCUGUUGGAGUAGAAAAGAAGGCACACCCUGCCCAAGGAGCUCUUAGUCAGAAAAGGAAAGGAAGCUGCCAUUAGCCCAAGUGGGCUGCUGCCUGACGCCCAGAGAGCCAUGGCUUACAGGAGAGAAGGAAGAGGAAAAUGGUACCUGCCACCUGAACAGCAAAGCACACUUGUCUUGGCAAGGACUCCUUUCAGAAAUUUGAUUUGAAGAUGUGAGCAGUGGAGAUCCUCCUCACCAAGCAAGGCUCUUCAUGGCAAGCCUCUGUGGGCAAACUUGGUCACUGUGUUCAAAGGGGUGAAUUAGCUUGGCCUUUUGUUUUAUAAUCUAGAUCUGUGCAGUCUAAUAUGGUAGUCACUGGCCACAGAUGGCUUAAAUUGAAAUUUAAAUGAAUUGAAAUUAAAUCAAAUUUAAAAUUCAGUUCCUCAUUUGUAUUAGCUACAUUUUAAGUGUUCAACACCCAUAUGUGGCUAAUGGCUACCAAAUUCAAAGGCACAGCUACAGAACAUUUCCUUUAUUGCA
Equus quagga is the source of this 756-nucleotide long non-coding RNA. RefSeq lists it as uncharacterized. Lineage: Eukaryota; Metazoa; Chordata; Mammalia; Perissodactyla; Equidae. The transcript is spliced from 5 exons. The record is from RefSeq and is a predicted model, not a curated record.